AAAUUGGAGAGUUUGAUCCUGGCUCAGAACGAACGCUGGCGGCGUGCCUAACACAUGCAAGUCGAACGAGAAAGCCUGAGCAAUCGGGUGAGUAAAGUGGCGGACUGGUGAGUAACACGUAGGUAAUCUACCUGCAAAAUGGGAAUAACUCCGCGAAAGUGGGGCUAAUACCGAAUAACGUUCAGGAAACAUAAGUUUUCUGAACCAAAGAUGGCUGAAUCCGUAAGGAUGCUAUUGUUUGCAGAUGAGCCUGCGUACCAUUAGCUAGUUGGUAGGGUAAUAGCCUACCAAGGCAACGAUGGUUAGCCGGCCUGAGAGGGCGAUCGGCCACAUUGGGACUGAGAUACGGCCCAGACUCCUACGGGAGGCAGCAGUGGGGAAUAUUGCGCAAUGGAGGAAACUCUGACGCAGCGACGCCGCGUGGAGGAUGAAGGUUUUCGGAUCGUAAACUCCUUUUAGAGGGGAAGAAAACUAUCUUGUUAACAAUGAGAUAGCUUGACAGUACCAUCAGAAAAAGCCCCGGCUAACUCCGUGCCAGCAGCCGCGGUAAUACGGAGGGGGCAAGCGUUGUUCGGAAUUACUGGGCGUAAAGGGCGCGUAGGUGGCGAUAUAAGUCAGACGUGAAAUCCCUCAGCUUAACUGAGGAAUUGCGUUUGAAACUGUAUUGCUUGAGUACAGGAGAGGAGAGUGGAAUUCCCAGUGUAGCGGUGAAAUGCGUAGAUAUUGGGAGGAACACCGGUGGCGAAGGCGGCUCUCUGGACUGUUACUGACACUGAGGCGCGAAAGCAUGGGGAGCAAACGGGAUUAGAUACCCCGGUAGUCCAUGCUGUAAACGAUGGGCACUAGGUGUGGAGGGUUUCAACCCCUUCUGUGCCGAAGCUAACGCAUUAAGUGCCCCGCCUGGGGAGUACGGUCGCAAGAUUAAAACUCAAAGGAAUUGACGGGGGCCCGCACAAGCGGUGGAGCAUGUGGUUUAAUUCGACGCAACGCGAAGAACCUUACCUGGGUUUGACAUCUCCCUAAUUCCUGAGAAAUCAGGAAGUGCCUUGCAAAAGGAGUGGGAAGACAGGUGCUGCAUGGCUGUCGUCAGCUCGUGUCGUGAGAUGUUGGGUUAAGUCCCGCAACGAGCGCAACCCUUACUCUUAGUUGCCAAACCCCGAAAGGGGAGGAACUCUAAGAGAACUGCCGGCGAUAAGUCGGAGGAAGGUGGGGAUGACGUCAAGUCCUCAUGGCCUUUAUAUCCAGGGCUACACACGUGCUACAAUGGCUGGUACAGAGGGUAGCAAACUCGCGAGAGGAAGCCAAUCCCAUAAAACCAGUCUCAGUUCGGAUUGGAGUCUGCAACUCGACUCCAUGAAGUUGGAAUCGCUAGUAAUCGUGGAUCAGCACGCCACGGUGAAUACAGUUCCCGGGCCUUGUACACACCGCCCGUCACACCACGAAAGUCAAUUGUACCAGAAGUCGCUAGGCUAAUCUUGAGCAAUCACGAAGGCAGGUGCCUAAGGUAUGAUUGGUAAUUGGGGUGAAGUCGUAACAAGGUAGCCGUAGGGGAACCUGCGGCUGGAUCACCUCCUUUCUAAGGAG
Molecule: ribosomal RNA, 1584 nt
Filed under: Candidatus Schekmanbacteria bacterium RIFCSPLOWO2_02_FULL_38_14
Lineage: Bacteria; Candidatus Schekmaniibacteriota
Description: bacterial SSU rRNA
Rfam family: Bacterial small subunit ribosomal RNA
Source: RNAcentral